RNAcentral lists this ribosomal RNA (526 nucleotides) under uncultured bacterium. Its description in RNAcentral is "partial 16S ribosomal RNA". It matches the Rfam family "Bacterial small subunit ribosomal RNA", at positions 355 to 871 of the family's 1533-position model. The record is from RNAcentral.
UGGGGAAUAUUGGACAAUGGGCGCAAGCCUGAUCCAGCAAUGCCGCGUGUGUGAAGAAGGCCUUCGGGUUGUAAAGCACUUUUAUCAGGAGCGAAACGCUGUCGGCUAAUACCCGGCGGAACUGACGGUACCUGAGGAAUAAGCACCGGCUAACUUCGUGCCAGCAGCCGCGGUAAUACGAAGGGUGCAAGCGUUAAUCGGAAUUACUGGGCGUAAAGCGUGCGUAGGCGGUUUCUUAAGUCUGCUGUGAAAUCCCCGGGCUCAACCUGGGAAUGGCAGUGGAUACUGGGAGGCUAGAGUGUGUCAGAGGGUGGUGGAAUUCCCGGUGUAGCGGUGAAAUGCGUAGAGAUCGGGAGGAACAUCAGUGGCGAAGGCGGCCACCUGGGACAACACUGACGCUGAGGCACGAAAGCGUGGGGAGCAAACAGGAUUAGAUACCCUGGUAGUCCACGCCCUAAAGCGAUGCGAACUGGAUGUUGGUCUCAACUCGGAGAUCAGUGUCGAAGCUAACGCGUUAAGUUCGCCG